CCUACGGGGGGCAGCAGUGAGGAAUAUUGGUCAAUGGGCGGGAGCCUGAACCAGCCAAGCCGCGUGAGGGAUGAAGGUACAGCGUAUUGUAAACCUCUUUUAUCAGGGAACAAAAGCGGGGACUAAUCCCCGGAUGAAUGUACCUUAAGAAUAAGCAUCGGCUAACUCCGUGCCAGCAGCCGCGGUAAUACGGAGGAUCCGAGCGUUAUCCGGAUUUAUUGGGUUUAAAGGGUGCGCAGGCGGCCUGUUAAGUCAGCGGUAAAA
This 264-nucleotide ribosomal RNA is filed under the name uncultured bacterium. RNAcentral's name for it is "partial 16S ribosomal RNA". It matches the Rfam family "Bacterial small subunit ribosomal RNA", at positions 338 to 599 of the family's 1533-position model. The record is from RNAcentral.